RNAcentral lists this ribosomal RNA (843 nucleotides) under Rummeliibacillus pycnus. RNAcentral's name for it is "bacterial SSU rRNA". It matches the Rfam family "Bacterial small subunit ribosomal RNA", at positions 62 to 888 of the family's 1533-position model. Lineage: Bacteria; Bacillati; Bacillota; Bacilli; Caryophanales; Caryophanaceae. The record is from RNAcentral.
UCGAGCGAUGACGAGGAGCUUGCUCCUCUGAUUUAGCGGCGGACGGGUGAGUAACACGUGGGCAACCUGCCCUGUAGACUGGGAUAACUUCGGGAAACCGGAGCUAAUACCGGAUAAUCCAUUUCACCUCAUGGUGAAAUGUUGAAAGGCGCUUUCGGGCGUCACUACAGGAUGGGCCCGCGGUGCAUUAGCUAGUUGGUGGGGUAACGGCCUACCAAGGCGACGAUGCAUAGCCGACCUGAGAGGGUGAUCGGCCACAUUGGGACUGAGACACGGCCCAAACUCCUACGGGAGGCAGCAGUAGGGAAUCUUCCACAAUGGACGAAAGUCUGAUGGAGCAACGCCGCGUGAGUGAUGAAGGUUUUCGGAUCGUAAAACUCUGUUGUAAGGGAAGAACAAGUACGUUAGGAAAUGAACGUACCUUGACGGUACCUUAUUAGAAAGCCACGGCUAACUACGUGCCAGCAGCCGCGGUAAUACGUAGGUGGCAAGCGUUGUCCGGAUUUAUUGGGCGUAAAGCGCGCGCAGGCGGUUUCUUAAGUCUGAUGUGAAAGCCCACGGCUUAACCGUGGAGGGUCAUUGGAAACUGGGAGACUUGAGUGCAGAAGAGGAAAGUGGAAUUCCAAGUGUAGCGGUGAAAUGCGUAGAGAUUUGGAGGAACACCAGUGGCGAAGGCGACUUUCUGGUCUGCAACUGACGCUGAGGCGCGAAAGCAUGGGGAGCAAACAGGAUUAGAUACCCUGGUAGUCCAUGCCGUAAACGAUGAGUGCUAAGUGUUAGGGGGUUUCCGCCCCUUAGUGCUGCAGCUAACGCAUUAAGCACUCCGCCUGGGGAGUACGACCG